Molecule: transfer RNA, 74 nt
Filed under: Bacteroidetes bacterium oral taxon 272 str. F0290
Lineage: Bacteria; Pseudomonadati; Bacteroidota
Rfam family: tRNA
About the family: Transfer RNA (tRNA) molecules are approximately 80 nucleotides in length. Their secondary structure includes four short double-helical elements and three loops (D, anti-codon, and T loops). Further hydrogen bonds mediate the characteristic L-shaped molecular structure. tRNAs have two regions of fundamental functional importance: the anti-codon, which is responsible for specific mRNA codon recognition, and the 3' end, to which the tRNAs corresponding amino acid is attached (by aminoacyl-tRNA synthetases). tRNAs cope with the degeneracy of the genetic code in two manners: having more than one tRNA (with a specific anti-codon) for a particular amino acid; and 'wobble' base-pairing, i.e. permitting non-standard base-pairing at the 3rd anti-codon position.
Source: Rfam by way of RNAcentral
GCGGAAACAGCUCAGCGAGUAGAACACCACCCUGCCUAAGAGCGGGGGUGCGAGUUCGAGUCUCGUUUUCCGCU